This is a long non-coding RNA of Magnolia sinica, 1511 nucleotides long. RefSeq lists it as uncharacterized. The transcript has 2 exons. The record is from RefSeq and is a predicted model, not a curated record. Lineage: Eukaryota; Viridiplantae; Streptophyta; Magnoliopsida; Magnoliales; Magnoliaceae.
UAUCUUGGUCUAUUCUGACACGCUAAGAUAUUCUUGUUCUAACUUCCAAGUUCCAACCAGAGUCAUCCAAUCUCCAAUUACUCUGUUAUUAUUAUUGGAUCACUAACAAGACUUCUAUAAAAGAAUGUAGUUCCUAAUGGCAUAUAUACUUGCAGCUUCGAUUGUUGAUUGUAAAAUUCAUGCCAUCUCUCCACAUGAAACCAUAACAAUCGAGAUUCUAGUGCAUUAGGAGGGUCCUUCACUCAUGCCUCGAUGGUAGACUCACAAGAGUUUCAACACGAGGUCAUGGAUUCGAGUACCCAUUGUGGUGAAAUCCCUCUGUAGUGUGAGUGUGUGUGUGUGUGUGUAAAAAGAAGGAUGCCCAAUGACCCAAGGGAUUGUACCAAGAAAGUCAAAUUUUGAUCUACAAAGACGGUAGUUUCUACAUUUCCAAUAAAAGCUCUAAAAAUAGAUCUUUUUAAAAGAAAAAGAAAAUGAAGCACUUUUCCAUGAUGGGACAUUUCACUAUAUUUAGAUAUAAGACAAAAGUAGUGGAUUCCAUAUGGCAAUCAUUACAUUUUUCCAAAGUCAAUUUCUCGCAUUGUUUAUAACAUGAGUGUAGCUGAAAUGAGGAUGUUGAGAUGGAUGAGUGGCAAGACAAGAAUGGAAUAAGAAAUGAAUGCAUCCGAGGGAUCUUAGAUUAGCACCAAUAGGUAAUGCGAUGAGGGAAAGUAGACUUAAGACUGUUUCGGCAUGUGCAAUAGAGACCAAGAAGGGAAAGUAGACUUAGAUGGUUUCGGCAUGUGCAAUAGAGACCAAGAACUGCACCAGUUAAAAUGGGUGUGUUGGUACAAGUUGAAGGCUCUAAAAGGGCAAGGGAAAGACCCCAAAAGGACGUGGAUGAAGGUAAUAAGAAUAGACUUGAUGACCUAUGAUCUAAUUGAAGAUAUGGUCCUUGCUAGAGUGGAAUGGCAGAACAAGAUUCAUUUAGCCAACCCCAAUUAAUUGGGAUAAGGCUUAGAUGACUCGUGACAAUGAUUAUGAUGAUGCUGAUGAUGAUGACGACGACGACGAUACGAAGCAAGCAUUACCUCUCAAAAAUGAGAUCUCCACUCAAUACCCAACCAAGGCCCCUAAAUAUGGAACACAUGUGUAAUAGUGCUCAGGGAAAUCAUAACUGGGUAAUUAUUCUUUCUUUCCUCUUCCCAUCAUGCAAGCAAGCCUAAAGCCUUUGGUAGAAAGUUCUAGCCUUCUAGAAUUUUUAACUUCAACACCUAACAUUCUCCCUCGAGCAAAAACCCAAAAAACUUUCAUCUUUGAAUCAACUAGUGACCAUGGCACGCACAAAGUAGGAGGCAUGACUUAAACUUAUGACAAUAUCAGAUAUACAUGAUAGAAAAACUAAUGAUUUGCAAAGUGAAGUGCCAGUUGAAAACUGAGUAUGUCCAUCAGCAGGAAGAAUAGAGCAUAACAUGUUACUGAAAGUAAUCCAAAUAUCAAGAACAAGAAGAACUAAGAAAAGAAAAUAAUUA